This 463-nucleotide ribosomal RNA is filed under the name uncultured bacterium. RNAcentral describes it as "partial 16S ribosomal RNA". It matches the Rfam family "Bacterial small subunit ribosomal RNA", at positions 28 to 507 of the family's 1533-position model. The record is from RNAcentral.
GAUGAACGCUGACAGAAUGCUUAACACAUGCAAGUCUUUGGCGAAGCUGUGCUUGCACAGCCUAGCCAAGGCGGACGGGUGAGUAACGCGUAAGGAACUUGCCCUGCAGUCAGGGAUAACAGACGGAAACGACUGAUAAGACCUGGUAAAGUCAGGCGGACUCAUGUCCAGCCUGAUGAAAAGAGAUGCUGCAGGAGAGCCUUGCGUCCUAUUAGCUUGUUGGUGGGGUAACGGCCCACCAAGGCGAUGAUAGGUAGCCGGCCUGAGAGGGUGGACGGCCACAAGGGGACUGAGAUACGGCCCUUACUCCUACGGGAGGCAGCAGUGGGGAAUAUUGGACAAUGGGGGCAACCCUGAUCCAGCAAUUCUGUGUGCACGAUGAAGGUUUUCGGAUUGUAAAGUGCUUUCAGCAGGGAAGAAAAAAAUGACGGUACCUGCAGAAGAAGCGACGGUUAAAUACGUG